AGUGAACGCUGGCGGUAGGCCUAACACAUGCAAGUCGAACGGCAGCACAGUAAGAGCUUGCUCUUACGGGUGGCGAGUGGCGGACGGGUGAGGAAUACAUCGGAAUCUACUUUUUCGUGGGGGAUAACGUAGGGAAACUUACGCUAAUACCGCAUACGACCUACGGGUGAAAGCAGGGGAUCUUCGGACCUUGCGCGAUUGAAUGAGCCGAUGUCGGAUUAGCUAGUUGGCGGGGUAGAGGCCCACCAAGGCGACGAUCCGUAGCUGGUCUGAGAGGAUGAUCAGCCCGGCUGGAAUUGGACCGCGGUCCGGCCCAGUACGGGAGGCAGCGCUGGGGAAUAUUGUACAAUGGGCGGAAGCCUGGUCCGGCCAUACCGCGUGGGUUGAGAAGUCCUGCGGGUUGUAAAGCCCUUUUGUUGGGAAAGAAAAGCAGCAGGUUAAUACCCCGCUGUUCUGACGGUACCCAAAGAAUAAGCACCGGCUAACUUCGUG
RNAcentral lists this ribosomal RNA (492 nucleotides) under uncultured bacterium. RNAcentral's name for it is "partial 16S ribosomal RNA". It matches the Rfam family "Bacterial small subunit ribosomal RNA", at positions 29 to 507 of the family's 1533-position model. The record is from RNAcentral.